UGGGGAAUUUUGGACAAUGGGCGMAAGCCUGAUCCAGCMAUGCCGCGUGCAGGAUGAAGGCCUUCGGGUUGUAAACUGCUUUUGUACGGAACGAAAAGACUCUGGUUAAUACCUGGGGUUCAUGACGGUACCGUAAGAAUAAGCACCGGCUAACUACGUGCCAGCAGCCGCGGUAAUACGUAGGGUGCAAGCGUUAAUCGGAAUUACUGGGCGUAAAGCGUGCGCAGGCGGUGAUGUAAGACAGAKGUGAAAUCCCCGGGCUCAACCUGGGAACUGCMUUWGUGACUGCAUCGCUGGAGUGCGGCAGAGGGGGAUGGAAUUCCGCGUGUAGCAGUGAAAUGCGUAGAUAUGCGGAGGAACACCGAUGGCGAAGGCAAUCCCCUGGGCCUGCACUGACGCUCAUGCACGAAAGCGUGGGGAGCAAACAGGAUUAGAUACCCUGGUAGUCCACGCCCUAAACKAUGUCAACUGGUUGUUGGGAAUUCACUUUCUCAGUAACGAAGCUAACGCGUGAAGUGACCGC
Molecule: ribosomal RNA, 523 nt
Filed under: uncultured bacterium
Lineage: Bacteria
Description: bacterial SSU rRNA
Rfam family: Bacterial small subunit ribosomal RNA
Source: RNAcentral